RNAcentral lists this ribosomal RNA (275 nucleotides) under uncultured bacterium. RNAcentral describes it as "partial 16S ribosomal RNA". It matches the Rfam family "Bacterial small subunit ribosomal RNA", at positions 399 to 691 of the family's 1533-position model. The record is from RNAcentral.
GCGUGGGUGAAGAAGGUCUUCGGAUUGUAAAGCCCUUUCGGCGGGGACGAUGAUGACGGUACCCGCAGAAGAAGCCCCGGCUAACUUCGUGCCAGCAGCCGCGGUAAUACGAAGGGGGCUAGCGUUGCUCGGAAUGACUGGGCGUAAAGGGCGCGUAGGCGGAUUGUACAGUCAGGCGUGAAAUUCCCGGGCUCAACCUGGGGGCUGCGCUUGAGACGUGCGAUCUUGAGUGGGGAAGAGGGUCGUGGAAUUCCCAGUGUAGAGGUGAAAUUCGU